Molecule: ribosomal RNA, 423 nt
Filed under: uncultured bacterium
Lineage: Bacteria
Description: bacterial SSU rRNA
Rfam family: Bacterial small subunit ribosomal RNA
Source: RNAcentral
UGAGGAAUAUUGGUCAAUGGGCGCAAGCCUGAACCAGCCAUCCCGCGUGCAGGAAGACGGCCCUAUGGGUUGUAAACUGCUUUUCCAGGAGGAGAAUUUAUCUGUCGUGACAGGAAUUGACGGUACCCUGGGAAUAAGCAUCGGCUAACUCCGUGCCAGCAGCCGCGGUAAUACGGAGGAUGCGAGCGUUAUCCGGAUUUAUUGGGUUUAAAGGGUGCGUAGGCGGAUUGAUAAGUCAGUGGUGAAAACCUGCAGCCUAACUGUAGACUUGCCGUUGAUACUGUCAGUCUUGAGUGUGGUCAAGGUAGGCGGAAUGUGUAAUGUAGCGGUGAAAUGCUUAGAUAUUACACAGAACACCGAUUGCGAAGGCAGCUUACUGGGCCAUUACUGACGCUGAUGCACGAAAGCGUGGGGAUCGAACAG